UUCAUCAGAUAAGGGUCAUAUCAUAGGGGCUAUUAACUUAAUUCAGUUCCUUUUUUAUUACAGUCCCCUUUGAAAGUAUCUUAAACGGUGAGAUGUGGUCAUUUAAACGUUGUAUGACAUAGACCGACUACCUAUAAGGAGACCGGUUGCGGAGGAGAGGUGUGAGGCAGGGUUAGCCGCUAACACGGUUGGCCCAAUGCUUGAUUGUUUUUCUAAUCUCUACGUUACAGCAUUACAGUACAGCCAUGGCAUGGCUAGCUACACCAUGUAAUCCCCCUGAGGCUGGUGUAAGGGCUAUUUGCUUUGUUCUACUUUUUUAUUUAUUCCGUCUAGUGUGUGUGUGUGUGUGUGUGUGUGUGUGUGUAUGGGGAGGGUAAGGUUUUUGUUUGAAACCCCCCCCCAAAAGUAUUUUGUAUUGUGUUCUCAGAUUUUUAAUUGUGAGAGACUUGACUGGUUUUUGUGAUGGUCCCUCCUCCUGCCUAGCAGGGCUGUUUUAAUAAGGUGUGUGUGUGUGUGAUCAUUGGACGACUGAUCGAGGUCUUUAAAUGUGCUGAUGUAAUGAGGGAUGGAACGGGAACAAAUGCGCAGCAGGACUCAAGCACGCAAAUGUGCUAGCUACCCAUCUACCUUCAUCUCUUUCUGUGUGUGGGGGUCUUGGGGGCCCUAUCUUGUCCACCCAGAUGUGUGCUAUUAUCAGGGGGAUGGAUGGGGAGACAGGCCAUCCCCUGGCCCUUUGUAGAGAUGAGCCCUAAAGGAAGGUGCCCCUGGGACAGCUGCUUGUCUGUCUGUCUGUCUGUCUGUCUGUCUGUCUGUCUGUCUGUCUGUCUGUCUCUCUCUCUCUCUCUCUCUCUCUCUCUCUCUCCGUACUGCUCCUAUCUCUCGAUAUAAUGUAUAUGUUUUUCUCUCUCUGUCUGUCUCUCUCUCUCUCUGUACUGCUCCUAUCUCUCGAUAUAAUGUAUAUGUUUCUCUCUCUCUGUCUGUCUCUCUCUCCGUACUGCUCCUAUCUCUCGAUAUAAUGUAUAUGUUUUUCUCUCUCUGUCUGUCUCUCUCUCUCUCUGUACUGCUCCUAUCUCUCGAUAUAAUGUAUAUGUUUCUCUCUCUCUCCCCGCUGGUUGAAUACCGUUAAUGAAAUAUCAUGGUGGACAUGAAUGUUCAUUCACACAAUAUCAGAACACUAGAGGUCAAAGAGAACUGUUAUUUAGGAUUCUAUAGAAUUCUACGUUCUCUAGAACGUGAUAGAAUCACCGUACUACUGUAUUGGUACUACUUGUAUACAUUGGUAUUGCUAUUUGAACAGCAUCAGUUAGUGGAGCGAUUUAGGAGCUACUAGUGAAUUGUGUUGUCACUUCUGUUCUGUAUAGCCUUGGUACAGGUGAGUGUGAAUAUGGACACCUUGACAAACCAAAGCAUGUAGUGACGGUUACUACACAGAAGAAUGUAGACCCAGACGAUAGUUAAGUGUGGGUAUGUAAACUGCCAAGUAUCAGGUGUGUGUGGUCCUAGCACUUUCAUGGUGGGGGGGGGGUCUUCGACACACCACAGCCCGAUGUUGUAAGAAUGUUUGUGAACGUUGCAAGAAAACGUAUCAACGUUGUCAGGAUGUUUUUGAGGCGUCCUUUAGAGAUUUUUCUCCUUCCUGACAUGCUCCCCUACGUUUUAAAAACACACCAACAGUCCCAACGUUGUGGUGACGUUGUUUGAACGUGGUGAAGUUUUAAAUCCAGUGCUGUUUGAAAUAUGCACUGUCAAGAGUAUCUCUCACGAUAUACCUUAAUCUGCCUAGUUUGUGGGCAUAGAAAGUAGUAUGAAGCUUGAAUCAAUAUUUAGCCUCUUUCUGUGAAAAAUGUAAACACACUUUGAUCCUGGUGCAGAAUAUCAAUAUAAAAAGUUAAUGGCAGCAAUUCUGUACCCAAUCUCAUUUGGACUGUCUGCCGUAGAUUGAGCUGUUGUGCCCUUUUCAUCUACAGGGAUGAUCAUGUUUAAAGUCUACGUAGCAAUUAAUUAGUUCUGCCCAGGGUUUCUAUACCUAUUGAAUACGAAAUGUGUGUUCGAUGAUAUGACAUUAUCAAACAUUCAGACAUCCUUCUCCCAUUUGCUCUCCUGUUUGAAAUCUGAUAUCACGUAAGCGUCGGAGGCAACUAAGUCAUGCAUUGAUAACGUCGAGGCAAUGUGAGGUCACUGCUUAAACUACUAACUAAACGUUUUAUUUUUUGGUGCUUAAACUACUGCUAAUUGUUUUUGAUUGAAAAUAAACCAUGAUUGUAACACUUUUUCCCACUGGAAUCACUCAAUCAAUUCAAAAUCUAGUUCAUCAAAGAUAUCCCGACCUAAUUACGGUAUACAAGAGCUGCAGUAUCAACGACUCCACUCCAUGGCUGGAAGUAUUUGCACUUUUACAACUUUCCUCUUCCUCCAUAAAGUGCAAAUGAAGUUGAUUUUCUCUUAUCAUGUGACUGUUACUGCGGUGUUAUUUCAUUUGGGAUGCUUUGAAUGAUGAUCUUGAAUGGUACUGCCGUAGCAUGAAAUAAAUCUCGACAUCUCAAUCCUAA
This is a long non-coding RNA of Oncorhynchus tshawytscha (Chinook salmon), 2549 nucleotides long. NCBI's taxonomy places the organism in Eukaryota, Metazoa, Chordata, Actinopteri, Salmoniformes, Salmonidae. The record is from Ensembl.